Molecule: transfer RNA, 67 nt
Filed under: Felis catus (domestic cat)
Lineage: Eukaryota; Metazoa; Chordata; Mammalia; Carnivora; Felidae
Also listed under: 4 other names
Rfam family: tRNA
About the family: Transfer RNA (tRNA) molecules are approximately 80 nucleotides in length. Their secondary structure includes four short double-helical elements and three loops (D, anti-codon, and T loops). Further hydrogen bonds mediate the characteristic L-shaped molecular structure. tRNAs have two regions of fundamental functional importance: the anti-codon, which is responsible for specific mRNA codon recognition, and the 3' end, to which the tRNAs corresponding amino acid is attached (by aminoacyl-tRNA synthetases). tRNAs cope with the degeneracy of the genetic code in two manners: having more than one tRNA (with a specific anti-codon) for a particular amino acid; and 'wobble' base-pairing, i.e. permitting non-standard base-pairing at the 3rd anti-codon position.
Source: Rfam by way of RNAcentral
ACCUGGGUAGCUCAGUCGGUUGAGCAUCUGACUUCAACUCAGGUCAUGAUCUCACGGUUCCUGGGUU